UACGGGGGGGGCAAGCGUUGUUCGGAAUUACUGGGCGUAAAGGGCUCGUAGGUGGCCAACUAAGUCGGACGUGAAAUCCCUCGGCUUAACCGGGGAACUGCGUCCGAUACUGGUUGGCUUGAGUUUGGGAGAGGGAUGCGGAAUUCCAGGUGUAGCGGUGAAAUGCGCAGAUAUCGGGAGGAACACCAAUGGCGAAGGCAGCUCGCUGGGACGUUACUGACGCUGAGGCACGAAGGCCAGGGGAGCAAACGGG
RNAcentral lists this ribosomal RNA (253 nucleotides) under uncultured bacterium. RNAcentral's name for it is "partial 16S ribosomal RNA". It matches the Rfam family "Bacterial small subunit ribosomal RNA", at positions 524 to 776 of the family's 1533-position model. The record is from RNAcentral.